CAACACUACAAGAGCUUUGCGUAUUUUGUUUUCCUAGUUUAAAAAAUAAAUAAGAAUAAAACAUGUUCAGGAAAUAUCAGGACAUCUGGGUCUCGGUGGUGGUUGACUUUCAGUCCUGGGAGAGCAGUUGGGGCUAAGGAAGGCUAAGCCAAUCGCUGCUGGUUGGUGACUUGCUUGAAAAGCCAGCGUUGCACUGGAGCAGCCAGCUAGGGCCAUGAGCCAGGGCUUCCUCCUCCCUCUGUGGACCAGAGCCAAAAUGGAGGUUUAGCCCAGACAGACGCUGAGCAAGUGUUCAGUGCUGCGGGUCCUCUGCCUAGGCAUGGAGUGGUGUUGGCUGCAGACUGGAUGACAGGGUCUUCAGGGAGAGCCGACGCGCGUCCCCCUGCACAGACACCCAACCCCCUAACUGACCACCGCUGAUCUGUUACCGCGGUGACACUGAAGUACAGCCUCACUCCUGCAACCACAGCAGAACCCCCACCCCCCCUCUUUUUCCUCAUCCCCCUCUAUCUGGACUCUCCUGACCCCCCUUCCUCCUCCUCUCCUUACCCCCCCCCCUUCCCUCCUCCUUUCCUG
Molecule: long non-coding RNA, 576 nt
Organism: Oncorhynchus tshawytscha (Chinook salmon)
Lineage: Eukaryota; Metazoa; Chordata; Actinopteri; Salmoniformes; Salmonidae
Source: Ensembl